UACGAAGGGGGCUAGCGUUGUUCGGAAUUACUGGGCGUAAAGCGCAUGUAGGCGGAUCGCUAAGUCAGGGGUGAAAUCCCGAGGCUCAACCUCGGAACUGCCUUUGAUACUGGCGAUCUUGAGUCCGGGAGAGGUGAGUGGAACUCCGAGUGUAGAGGUGAAAUUCGUAGAUAUUCGGAAGAACACCAGUGGCGAAGGCGGCUCACUGGCCCGGUACUGACGCUGAGAUGCGAAAGCGUGGGGAGCGAACAGG
RNAcentral lists this ribosomal RNA (253 nucleotides) under uncultured bacterium. Its description in RNAcentral is "partial 16S ribosomal RNA". It matches the Rfam family "Bacterial small subunit ribosomal RNA", at positions 524 to 776 of the family's 1533-position model. The record is from RNAcentral.